CUAAAUCAUUCACUUGUACUCACUAAAGGAGAGCUUGAACCUAUGUACUUGUGCAAAACCUUCACAAUUAAUGAGAAUUCCUCUACUCCGUGGACAUAGCCAAUUUGGGUGAACCACGUACAUCUUGUAUUUGCUUCCCUGUCUCCAUCCAUUUAGAUACUUAUCCACACUAGUGACUGAAGCAAUCUAGCGAAGGUUACAAACUUGACACUUUCUGUUGUACCAAAGUCCCCACUGAUUUUGUGCAUCAACAUUUGGUGCCGUCUGUGGGAACGACACUUAUUCUCACUCUCUUCCGCUUUGCCAAGUUGGUUUCCACCACUCAUACAUUCUCUUCUGACCAGGCAUCCCUCUCCAACAUGGGGAGCGAAGGAAGCCACAACACACAGAAUGACACCCCUCUUGCACCUAGUGCGAAGCAACGAAAGAAUGAAGGAAAGAGGGUUGCUCUUCAAGCUAAAGUUGAUGAGCUAGAAGCUCAGAACAACAAGAUAGCAAUGAAAAAUGAGGUCCUCCAGGAACAGUACGAGAAGCUCUUUGAGACGCUCCACGAAACUAGGCGUACUCAAACACGCGAGCUCGUUGCCCCUGUGGACAUCAAUCAUCAUCUGGGUGCCCCCCAACACGGAGGGUCACCUCCUUUCGACAUGGAUAUCCCUGAUGAGGAGCGAGCUAAUCAUCAAAACAUUGAUCAACAUGAGACUUAUCUCAACCCAGAUGCUUCGACCCGAAGUAGAAGAAGUGGAGGAAGACACCUCCUUGCAGAAGGGUUGGAAAGAUCGAAAGUCGAGAGAAUCCCCUCCAUAUAUGCCCAAAGAUCAAUGACCCAAUGGUUUCUAAAAGACCCGGUCCCCUCCAACGACCCAGGCUAGCUGUCAAUCUGGGGAAGAAACUACAGGUCCCAGAGGAACAUGAAAGUACGGGGGACUCUGAGGUAUUCUGACAGACUCGCCUUAAAAGUCAGUACGGUGAGUCCAAGAAAAAACCACACGCCCUUGCUCAAACUUUCCUACUUCCAAGAGACGAUGGAGACUUAUGAAAGAAAAUUCCAGUGGUACAUGACUCCACUCAGGACUCUCUUGUCCUACAGCUCAUUGAGGAAGUAAACAAGUUGAAGGCCGAAUGUUAGGCCGAGAUACCUGACUGGAACCAACCCAAGCUUGGCCCUCUCACAAGAAGGAUCCUCGACACCCCAUUCAAGCGAAGACAAAACAAAAGCUUGGUUUACAACUCUAUACUGGAAUGAAGGAUCCAAUUGAACACCUUAACCUCUUUGAGUCCACCAUGGCAUAUCGGAUGAACACCGACGAAGAACGAUGUCUUCUCUUCCCCUCCACCCUCUCUGGCGGAGCUCUAAACUGGUAUUGCCGUCUUCCACCUGAGACAGUAGACUCAUUUAAGGAACUGAGGAAACUGUUUGUCUCUCAACAUAUCUUUCAGACCGAUCGCUUACAUUCUAUAGAUGACUUGUACACUAUUUGCCAGAAGCCGGACGAGUCACUACGAGAGUAUGCCGGUCACUUCAGCCAUGAGUAUUCUCGUUGCGCUGAGGUAGAUGACAAGACCGCCCUCAAGGCCUUCACGGCAGGCCUACGUGAUUGUUUCUUCAAGUACAUGAUCAAUGCCAGCACUUGGAAGACUUACUCUGAGGUGAUAACACAAGCUUACAACCACGCCUCUGCUGAAGCAAGGACAUACCAAGGGAACCCCCAUAUGGUUAACCCCUAUCAACACGUGGUAAGUGGAAGUCAAGUUCUGCCAAGUGAGGAGAUCUUGGCCAUUCAGACACCCAUUGCAUCAUCUCCUGCCUCAUUUAGUUACUUUUUAAGUCACUAAACGUAUCUGUCUCUUGGUAAGAGGAAGGAUUUUUACUCUCAGCAAACCCAUUACAACAAGAGGGAUAAAAGUUCGUAUCAAGACAACCAGGGGUGAACGUAUCGUCGACUAUUAUGACUAUGGGGCCAGGCCUCACUCUUUCAAAGUGGAUGACCAGGUACUGAAGGAAAUGCUAUUAUAAGAAGGUAUACACAUUACAAAUGUUUUGACUCUCAACCGCUUGAGAUCUUUUGUCACACAAACCAUUCGGAAAAUUUUUAAAGAAGAGGGAAUUCAGACAACUUCUUUUGAGUCUUUUGCGUUCCUAGCACUGGAACACUUGGUCUACGCUGACCUACCCUUCUACUCCAACUUAGAGCUUCAACAUGCGUACUUUGACACAAAGUAUAUGACACUAAGUGUUACAACCAACAUGGUUCACAUAUCAAAAGCAUGGAUCCCUUCAUGCAUAGCAAAACAUUCAUAAGCAUCACUCAUAUUAAUCAACAUAAACAUCAUGCAUUCCAACACAUUCAUACAUAAACAUCAUACAUUCCAACACAUUCAUCCAUAAACAUCAUACAUUCCAACACAUCCAUACAUAAGCCAACUGUGCUUCAAAAGGGUUCAACAUACUUUGUGUCUUUGACACUUGCUACAAUGUUCCUCGACACCUUGCCCUUAUUCUCACCAACUAGGUGAUGGAAUGUGAAGAAGGAACUCAUCUUCAUGCCACCAACCAGGUGAUGAAAUGUACAACCCGUACUCUCUUUCAUGCGACCAACCAGGUGAUGAAAUGUACAACCCGUACUCUAAUAUCAUUUGGCAACUUGCCACUCAUGCCACCAACCAGGUGAAGAAGGAACCCAUCUUCGUGCCACCAACCAAGUGAUGAAAUGUACAACCCGUACUCUAAUAUCGUUUGGCAACUUGCACCUCAUGCCACCAACCAGGUGAAGAAGGAACUCAUAUUCAUGCCACCAACCAAGUGAUGAAAUGUACAACAUGUACUCUAAUAUCAUUUGGCAACUUGCCACUCAUGCCACCAACCAGGUGAAGAAAGAACUCAUCUUCGUGCCACCAACCAGGUGAUAAAAUGUACAACCUGUACUCUCCUUCAUACCACCAACCAGGUGAAGAAGGAACUCAUCUUCGUGCCACCAACCAGGUGAUAAAAUGUACAACCCGUACUCUCAUUCAUGCCAUUAACCAGGUGAUGAAAUGUAUAAUCCAUACUUUAAUAUCAUUUGGCAACUUGCCACUCAUGCCACCAACCAGGUGAAUAAGGAAAUCAUCUUUGUGCCACCAAUCAUGUGAUGAAAGCAACUCACCAUUCAUUCCACCAAACAGAAGACGAGUGGUACAACUUGUACAUGUGAACUCCUAGCAUUCACAAAUAAUAAAAAACCCUCAUGUUUUACAACUCAACUAGGGGAGCACUUAUGCCCAACAAGAGUUAUAGUCACUAACAAAGUCUAUUGCAAGCCAACAACAACUUCAGUGCAUGACAUACGAAGAUCAAGCUAUUCAGCCCUCUUGCAUUUGCUUCAGACAUUUCUCCUUUGUAAUAAUGCAAACAUUACAAGGUGUGGCUUGCAUCAGAAUCUUUUGCUCAACAGUGUGGAAGCAAAAUUUGUAUAUGUUGUCAUCAAAGGAGUUCAACCACAAUUCUCAAAAGCUUCACACACUCUUAAUCAAGACAGUGUGAAGCAAAACCAAUCUAUGGUGCCAACAAAAGCUUCAUCAAUGGAGGGCAACCACAAUUCUCAAAAGCUUCACACACUCUUGAUCAAGACAGUGUGAAGCAAAACCAAUUUAUGGUGCCAAUAAGAGCUUCAUCAAUGGAAGGCAACCACAAUUCUCAAAAGCUUCACACACUUUUGAUCAAGACAGUGUGAAGCAAAACCAAUUUAUGGUGCCAACAAAAGCUUCAUCAAUGGAGGGCAACUACAAUUCUCAAACCUUCGAAGCAAAUUCAAGACUGUUCGAAGCAAAUUCAAUUUAUAUGGUUCAUCCAAACCUUCGACUACUACAAGGUGUGGCUUGCAUCAUAAUCUUUUGCUCAACAGUGUGGAAGCAAAAUUUGUAUAUGUUGUCUCUCCCACAUUUUCAAAUUUCUAUUUCCCAAAAAAAAAAAAAAAAGGGAAAUCCAACAAAAGCUUCAUCAAUGGAGGACAUCUACAAAUUCUCAAAAGCUUCACACUAUCUUGAUCAAGAUAGUGUGAAGCAAAAUCAAUUCAUGGUACCCAACAAAAGCUUUAACUCCAAAGCUUCACCUACAAAACUUUAACUCCAAAGCUUCACCUACAAAAGCUUCAACUCCAAAGCUUCACCUACAAAGCUUCAACUCCAAAGCUUCACCUACAAAAGCUUCACCCACAAAAGCUUUAACACAAAAGCUUCACCCACAAAAGUUUCACCUACAAAAGCUUGACCCACAAAAACUUGACCCACAAAAGCUUGACCUACAAAAGCUUCACCCACAAAAGCUUCAACACAAAAGCUUUACCAACAAAAGCUUCAUCAAUGGAGGACAACUACAAAUUCUCAAAAGCUUCACACUAUCUUGAUCAAGAUAGUGUGAUGCAAAAUCAAUUCAUGGUACCCAACAAAAGCUUCAACUCCAAAGCUUCACCUACAAAGCUUCAACUCCAAAGCUUCACCUACAAAAGCUUCAACACAAAAGCUUCACCCGCAAAAGCUUCACCCACAAAAGCUUCAACAUAAAAGCUUCACCCAUAAAAGCUUCAACUACAAAAGCUUGACCCACAAAAGCUUCACUUACAAAAGAACCUACAAAAGUUUGACCCACAAAAGCUUAACCCAUUUAGAAAGGAAAUGCCUCAUUCAAAUAUAUAUAUAUAUAUAUAUAUAUAUUUUUUUUUUUUUUUCGGAAAUUUGAAAAUUCAAAAAUUCGGAAAUUUAAAAAUUCGAAAAUUCGAAGAAAAAAAAAUCCUCUUCUUUGGGCCUAACAACUUUCAUAACAAAUAUAUAUGAAGAAGGAGUUUUGGGCUACCACUUAGAUAGGAAAUGCCUUAUUCGUCAACUCCCUCGACCGGAGACUUGGGGGACUCCUACCAUAUGCUACUGCACCUUGAUACUCAGAAGUCUCACGACCACUCAGUGGCUUGGAUUUUUCAAGUCUCCAAACUAGAAGUUUUCCUCACUCGAGAAAUUAAGGAAGCACUACUUCAACCUACAUGCUUCACCCACAAAGCUUCAACAUACAAGCUUCAACAAAAGGAAAAAUUCAAAGAACUUAGUGAAGAAGGCCUUGGUGUAUUUAACACAAUACGUUGAAAUGAAGCAAAGCUUGUUUAUUGAUAUCUCCGAUAAGUUACAAAUAUGUACAUAUACAUGAAUCAAAAUAAACAAACAAGAGGGAGCCUUCACAAAGGUUGCUCAAGAGAAGUCUCAGCAAUUGGCAGAGCCCCAGAAAGAGGAGGCACCAGAAGGUGAUUAUUCGGAGCCUCAGUACUAGGCAGAACUCUAGAAGGAGGAGGCACCGAAGGUUGAUCAUUUGGAGCUUCAUUACGCGGUACAACCCUAGAAGACGAAGGCAAUAAAUGCCUUUGAAACAAACCCACAAACCUCUGAUGAUCAAGUAAAAUCUGACCAUCAGAUUCCUGCAGCUGGUCGAGCUUCCUCUUCAUGUUUGUAGCAUAGUCAUGUACGAGCCUGUGCAACUGUUUAUUCUCAUGCUUGAGCCUUCUGAUCUCCUGUUUUAGACUUAUCACUUUAGCCGCCAAUAAUUCAACUUGGCGGGUUUGAGCAAAUAAACGUUGGGCCAUAUUAAACAUAGAACCUGCACACUGAACACUGAGAGCCAGAGAAUCCUUAACAGCCAACUCAUCAGACCGUUUGGAAAGUAGUCUGUUAUCUUUGUGAGUGAGAAGGUUCCUGGCCACCAUCGCAGCGAUCAUAUCAUUCUUCAUCACAAAGUCCCCAACGGUAAGAGAACCAGUAGGGGAUAAGAAGGAUGGGCACCAUAUGUUGUCUUGAGAAGGCACGGCUGCCUCUUUACCAAAGUUCAAGUCAAAACGACAGUCGGAUGAGCCAGACAUUCUCAGAAAUGAUGAAGGAGAAAUGAGGUGCAAUAAAUCUUUGAAGUAAGGGGAAAAUUCCUACAAGAAAUAACUCUUUGAAUGUACUUCUUGCACACAAUUGGUGCCCUAAUAAAAGAAAGGGCAACAUGGCCGUUGGUUCAAAAAUCGAGGAGGCACCACUCUCCGGAUUCUGAAAAGGCACAAUUUUCCACACGCAACAUCAGCUCAUCGGGUACCACAGAUAACUUUGCCAAAGAUCUCUGACAAAGUUUAGACACAUAAAUUUUGAAGGUCCAGCUACCCUACUAUUACCCACAAGGGUCAAGGAACAGCAUCACUGCUUGAUAACUAGAAAGUCCUAAUGUGUGUCAACCUCCGUGCUCCGUGGCAAGGCAGACUGGUAAAAAUGCCAAACCUUUACUCACAUUCGAGAAAACACUCCCAACAAGAUUGCUUGCUCAAAAAUCAAAAAGGCACAUCUCUCCGAAUCUCGAGAGCCAAACUCCCAACAGGAUUACGUGCUUAAAAAUCGAAGAGGCACCGCCCUCUGAAUCUCAAGAGCUAGAUUCCCAACAGGAUUACUUUCUUAAGAAUCGAAAAGACACUGCUCGAGUCAGACUCCCAACAGGAUUGCUUUCUCAAAAGUCGAAGAGGCACUGCUCUCCGAAUCUUAAGAGCCAGACUUCCAACAGGAUUAUGUGCUCAAAAAUUGAAGAGGUACCGCCCUCUGAAUCUCGAGAGCCAGACUCCCAACAUGAUUACUUUCUAAAAAAUCGAAGAGACAAUGCUCUCCGAAUCUUAAGAGUCAGACUCCCAACAUGAUUGCUUUCUCAAAAAUAGAAGAGGCAUCGUUCUCUGAAUCUCGAGAGCCAGAUCCUUGACAGGAUUGCUUGUUCGAAAACUGAAGAGGCACCUCUCUCCAAACUUCGAGAGCCAGAUUUCCUUGGAUAAAGCUUGUCUGCAAUCUUCACACGCAACAUCAGCUUUCCAGAUACCACAUACCACUUUUUCAAAGUGCUCUGACAAAGUUAAAACACGCGAAGCUUGCAGCUCCCACUACAUUGCUAUGACCAAGAAAGGUAAAGGAAUAACAUUACUACUUGUUGUUAGGGAUACUUCUAUCUAUGUUGACCUUCAUCCUCCACAACCAGGCAGACCUGCAAAUAAAAAAAAUGCUUAACUUUUCUUCACAUCAGAGAGGGCACUCUUAGCAGAGUCUCUCGAAAUACUCAGCUUCUUUUCCUCCCGAUAAUACCUCUGCAAACAAGCCACACCAGAGCAAGAGUAUCUCAUAUCAUUAGGGUUAAAAGCAAGAGUAUCCCAUAUCAUGCUUUUUCCUUAUCUUUUCCUUUGGCCUUAUUCUUACCUGCAAGACAAGAAGAAAAAGAGUAAUUAGUCAGCACUUGGAAUCCAGCUUCCAGUCAGGAACUGACUGCCUGUAACCCUUUGCCUAAUUACUUACCUGGCAUUUCUCUUGAGUACUCAUCUUCAACAUCUUAUGCUUCCAAAGAAGAUACCACAUCUGCCUGAGGAACAGAUAGGGCAAGUGAGAAGGAUACAAGGAAGCACGUGGAGACAAGCGUAACAGAACACGUGCCGAUACAUCCACUACUUUGUCAACAGCAAAAGUAUCCUAUAUCAUCAGGGUCGAACGUACUCUAGAUUUGAUGGACUUGUUUUGACCCUCAAAUUUUUGAGUCGGCCUUAUACUCUGGAGGAAACCAGAAAACCCUCCAGUCCAGUUCAAGAAUAAGCAUGUGGAAAGUUACUUCUUCAAAAGCAAAAGUAUCUUAUAUCAUCUCUUCUCCAUUUGCUUCCCUUUAUUCUUGUUGCUGUUUAUGACACAAGGAGAAUGAGAACAAUCAACCGGAAGCCGAAGUCGAACCUCUAAUCCAGGUUGCUUGCUUGGAAGUCCGAUUGCUUACCUUGUCUGUUACCUCAUUCGUCAUAUCUCCUAGAUCGGCGACUUGGGGGACUCCUACUAUAGGGUUUGUAUCGCACUUGACCAAGCCCGAAACUACAAGUAAGCUUCAAGUGAAAUUGAUACAUUACCUUGUGCAUCUUCAUCGGUUAAAGAUACCACCCCUGGAUGGUGAAAAAGUACUUCCAGAGAAGAUGCCACAUCUACAUAUGAGACAGAUAAGGCAAGUGAAAAUGAUGCCACACUUCGGUACUUAGAAGUUUCGUGAUUACUCAAUGGGCUGGAUCUUGCAAGUCCCCAACCGAGGAGCUUCCCUCACUCGGGAACUUAGGGGAGCACUGUUUGUACCAUACUUGACCAAUCCCGAAACUACUGAGCACCGGUCAACGUUAUACCGUCAGGGACCCAUAAGAGUUUCCCUCAAACCAGGAGCCAAUCAUAGCGCGACACGUGUCAACAUCAGAAGCCAAUCAUAGCGCGACACGUGUCAACAUCAGAAGCCAAUCACAACACGACACAUGUCAAUGUCAGAAUGAAACUGGAAACUCUCUUCUAUACAUAAAGAUCAUUAUCUCACAAUAUUUCCGAAUGUCAUUUGUACUAAAUCAUUCACUUGUUCUCACUAAAAGAGAGCUUGAACUUAUGUACUUGUGUAAACCCUUCACAAUUAAUAAGAAUUCCUCUACUCCGUGGACGUAGCCGAUCAGGGUGAACCAUGUACAUCUUGUGUUUGCUUCACUGUCUCCAUCCAUUUAUAUACUUAUCCACACUAGUGACUGAAGCAAUCUAGCGAAGGUCGCAAACUUGACACUUUCUGUUAUACCAAAGUCCCCACUGAUUUUGUGCAUCAACAUAUACUAUUUAUGAAACUGAACGGUACUAUAUUAUUUAUGAAAUUGAAUAGGAUUACACUAUUUAUUGAUCCAAAUUCAUAAAUAGUGCCUAGUUCUUGGUUCACUUUCAUAAAUAGUGCCUAGUUAUUGGGUCCAGUUUUAUAAAUAGUGUAUAGUAAUUGGUACAAUUUCAUAACUAGUGUCUCACUCUUUGUCCAGUUUCAUAUAUAGUGCCUAGUUCUUGGUCCACUAUCAUAUAUAGUGCCUAGUUCUUCAUCAUUUUUCAUAAAUAGUGUCUAGUUCUUGGUCCAAUUUCAUAUAUAGUGUAUAGUAAUUUGUACAGUUCCAUAUCUGACUUGGUCUAGUUUCAUAAAUAGUGUCUUUUUCUUGGUCCAGUUUCAUAAAUAGUCUAUUUCUUGGUCCAGUUUUUUGGUUCAGUUUUAAAAAUAAUGCCUUCUUUGAUUUUGAUGCAUCCUCUGCGCAACAACCACCUUCAAGAGAUACUCAGUUGUUCCUCCCUUCUUUUUCACGUUCUCUUCAUGAGAUACCCAAAUCAAACACAACCCUUGCUACGAAGCUACAUAGCUUUGUAAUCACAUAAAAAUGUUGGAGUGGGAGCGAACAAAAAUGUUGGAGUGGUGAAAAAUUUCUUGAGAAAGUUGGAGAUCACCCAGUGGCCGUGAACAGGAAAUUCCAUAAUAACAAAAAAAAUUACUAAAAAAAAAAUUGAAGUGGGUGAAAACCCUGAAAACCCCAAUGUUUGAAGAAAUUGAUGUUAAGUACCUGGGAGUGCUCAUUGAGUUGCACGCGCGCCAAUAAGGUUUUUUUUUUCUUGUGUCUUUAUUAUUAAAUAAAGUUAUAGGAUAGCUUUUGGUUAAAAUGUAAAGUUUUAGAGUUAUUUUCAUUAGUUUUCAUUUUUAUUAAAGACUUACUUUUAGCUAUGUCCUAUGAAACUCGAAUUUAAUCCAAUUUUGCUCAUUGCAGCUCAAAAGUCGCCACUUUACCUCUAAAACUCAAAGUUCACUUCACUUUGCUCCAUGGAAUUCGAUUUUGAUUGCAUUUUUCCCUUGAAACUUGAAAGUCUUCUCUAUAAAACUCAAAAUUCUCUCCACGUUGUCUUAGAUUUGUUAAUCUCUUAUGUGAUUUUGAUUUGGGUGCACCAUGCAAAUCAAUUUAUUUUUUAGUUUUCAUCUCUUUA
RNAcentral lists this long non-coding RNA (9813 nucleotides) under Malus domestica (apple). RNAcentral's name for it is "long non-coding RNA (MDOM_LNC009024)". The record is from RNAcentral. Lineage: Eukaryota; Viridiplantae; Streptophyta; Magnoliopsida; Rosales; Rosaceae.